Non-coding RNA from Maylandia zebra (zebra mbuna), 385 nucleotides. Lineage: Eukaryota; Metazoa; Chordata; Actinopteri; Cichliformes; Cichlidae. The record is from RefSeq and is a predicted model, not a curated record.
UGCAUCUUUGCAGAGUGAAGAGUGAAAUCCUGAAACUAAAUUAACCUAAAUGAAUCACACAAUGUCAAAGUCUUGGCCAACUUAUACUGCACCACGUCCUGUGGAUCUGAAUAACCCUCUAGGACACCAAACAGAGCCUUGCAUCUCCACACUGGUGAAGAUGACUCCAGAUGGAAGAAUAGAGGGAAGAAAGAGAAGGGACUUACCUGAAAGACUGGACAAAUCCCCCAAAAAAAGCAAAAGCAGUGGAGGUCCAAAACCGGGUCCCAGCCACUUUGUUUCUGGGGAAUCCAGUUUGAAAUUUGGCCUUCUCAUAGUGCCUUCAAGCGACUCUAGUAUAAUUAAGAGGAGCAACAAACGGAAGAGCACUAGUGACGAAUCUGAG